AGAGUUUGAUCCUGGCUCAGAAUGAACGUUGGCGGCGUGGAUUAGGCAUGCAAGUCGAGCGCCCCGCAAGGGGAGCGGCGCAAGGGUGAGUAAGGCGACGGCAACCAACCCCGCAAUUGGGGAUAGCCGAGGGAAACUUCGGGUAAUACCCAGCGACGUCAUAGGGGGGCAUCUCCCCGUGACCAAAGUUCCGGCGUUGUGGGACGGGCCGUCGUGGUAUUAGCUAGUUGGCGGGGUAACGGCCCACCAAGGCUGCGAUGCCUACCGGGCGUGCGAGCGUGGCCCGGCACACUGGGACUGAGACACUGCCCAGACUCCUACGGGAGGCUGCAGUCGGAAUCUUCGGCAAUGGGCGCAAGCCUGACCGAGCGACGCCGCGUGGAGGACGAAGGCCUUCGGGUUGUAAACUCCUGUCGAGGGGGAGGAAGGGGUAAAACC
Molecule: ribosomal RNA, 438 nt
Filed under: uncultured bacterium
Lineage: Bacteria
Description: bacterial SSU rRNA
Rfam family: Bacterial small subunit ribosomal RNA
Source: RNAcentral